Molecule: transfer RNA, 76 nt
Filed under: candidate division SR1 bacterium
Lineage: Bacteria; Candidatus Absconditibacteriota
Description: tRNA-Thr
Rfam family: tRNA
About the family: Transfer RNA (tRNA) molecules are approximately 80 nucleotides in length. Their secondary structure includes four short double-helical elements and three loops (D, anti-codon, and T loops).
Source: RNAcentral
GCCCUCAUAGCUCAGUCGGUAGAGCGCAUCCAUGGUAAGGAUGAGGUCACCAGUUCGAUUCUGGUUGUGGGCUCCA